Long non-coding RNA from Siniperca chuatsi (mandarin fish), 2430 nucleotides. RefSeq lists it as uncharacterized. Lineage: Eukaryota; Metazoa; Chordata; Actinopteri; Centrarchiformes; Sinipercidae. The record is from RefSeq and is a predicted model, not a curated record. The transcript is spliced from 8 exons.
GCAAGGGGUAGGUGGAGGGGGGGAUGGGUCAGUCCAGAGGAGUUUCGGGCGACCUGCUCCCUUUAGGGUUGGGGCUGGGUUUUGAUCUUUCCCCUGGCCUGCUUAUGCUGACAUCCCCAUCAAGUGAAGAUGCAUAUGAUGGACCCAACAGGGCAUCAAGCUCGCCGAACCCAGAGCCCUUUUCCUGGGCAGAACAGAUGGACAGUGAGGAUCUUUACUCCCCAUAGGGAGGGGAACGUAGUUUUGGAAACAAAACAUUUAAAUUUGAGGAAUUUCAAUGGAGGUACAUCUGCGGAAUAAGUUUGAUGUUGGAAACUUCUCAAGGGAAUGGACAAAAGGGGAUUCAGUUUGGAGUGUAGGGGGGGUCCACUCUACAGAGGUUGGGAUUUUGUUUGAAGUUAAAGAGAUCGUGGUGGAAAAUGUUUUUGUUAUUGUCCAGGGGAGAAUAAUAGGUGCGGAUAUCACAUGGGGGACAGCCAAGUUGAGGGUUAUUGUGGUGUAUGGGCCACAAACACCAGCAGGAAGGCAAGAGAUGGUGGAGAUAGUGGAGCCGCACCUUGCCACAGAUAGGCAGGUAAUUGUAGGGGGUGACUUUAAUGUGGAAUUAGGUAAGGGGAGGGAUACCAGCGAAAAAUUUAUCUCCCACCUUAUGGCCAUACAUGGCCUGGUAGAUGGGGGGAGGGAGGUCAGGCCGCGGGUAGACGGUCCCACAUAGCGUAACUCCCGGGGAAUAGUCAGACGUCUGGAUUAUGUGUUUUUAGCAAAAUCUUUGAGUCUGUUGGCAGGCAGGCUGAUCCCUGUAUUCUUUUCAGAUCAUGAUGGACUGCUGUUUGAGGUGCACUCUUGUGUGCCAGGUUUUGGGCCUGGUUACUGGCGCCUAAAUAUUAGUAUUCUUGAGGAAGAGUUGUUUAAACAGUAUUUUCUAGUGUUUUUCAAUGGCCUUCUGGGACUCAGACAAAUGUGUCCUGGGGUGAUAGAGUGGUGGGAGGUUGCCAAGGAGCGGAUGAAGACUUUUUGUAUAAAUUAUUGUAAAAGGAAGGUGAGGUGGGUGAAGAGGGAGGUGUUCCGCCUACAGCGCCAGUGGAAAGGAGGGUUUGGUUGGAUAUGGUGAAAUUUAGAUUCAGGGUUAGGGUUAGGUUAGAAGAAAGGGUUAACUCCCUGCAGGGAGUUAUAAUGCACUGGCACUAGUAUUUCUUUGUAUUAUAAGUUCAUAAAAUCAACAGGUGCUACUAUUUGGUUUAUAAAAGAUUUAAAAAUCAAAAGGAAAAAAUUAGGGGAAACAACAAAUGAAUCAGUGUCUGGGACUAAAAUAACUAAGAAAUGGAACAAAUGACCACAUAGUCUAACAGGCCAAGGGGCUCAGUUAAAUCUCCUGUAACGGGGAGAUUUGAGACACCACCAUUGAUAAUUCAUAAAAAGUAAGCACUCAGGUAUAAUUCAGGAGAGCAGCGGGGUCAGAAAAAACAAACAAAACAAAAAACAAAACAAAAACAGACUGAACAGAACUGCAGCAGGGCGGUAAGUGCUGGAAAGAAAAAAAAGUAAUCUGAUCAAUCAAAGGGAGAUGCAAGAAAUUAUAUUAAUAAUAUUAACAUGAAUAAGUGCUUCAAUAGAAAAAAACAUGCAUGUAGUAAAUCAUAAUGUACAUAAUAGAAAAAAUACAAACACACAACAAAAGGAUAAAACAGAAUAGCCCUGUUGCAGCAAUGUCUGCCUAAGGUCCUGACCAUUACUCAGUUUAAAAGCUUAAAACUACAAGCCGACCCCGUAUUAAAACGUGUUUUUUAUUAAAUUUUUUUUACAUCUUCUAGGUAACAGAUCUCGCUGGAACCUGACUGGAAAGAAGGGGAGAAGAGAAAGAAACUCAACCAAAGGGUGGACCAGCCGUCUCUGCCCUCCAGGCCUCUAUACCUGAGAUGCUCCAAACCAAACAUUUUAAAGUGCCCAUGAAGUAAGGUGGUGGCUCUCCCUCCCCGAAUACGGAUGGAGUGCCGCAAAGAGGAUCUUUGUAGCGUCCUCUACAUCCUGAGGGAUUUGACUGAACUGGUCCAGAUACCAAAAAUAUCGUCACGGUACCGGAGAUACAGCAGAGGUCUCACGGAGGAGGAGGGGGGGGCCCUUUUCCCACUCACCCAGGUUCUGUGUGGUCAACACCGUAAACCGGUUCUGGAGUGGCAGAGUCAUGGUGUCAUAAAAAAGCAGGUAACAGAUCUCGCUGGAACCUGACUGGAAAGAAGGGGAGAAGAGAAAGAAACUCAACCAAAGGGCACCGCUGUAGAACAGCUAUUUGGCCACAUUGUUUAAACCAGGGGACAGCUGAUCACACACAAGCCGAGCGGCAUGGCGCCCAGGGCAACCGAUGUCCCCACUGAGAUCUGGAGGCGGACACACUGAGGAUGCAGAGGUGGAACAAAGCGGCAAGGAACGGGA